CCUACGGGAGGCAGCAGUGAGGAAUAUUGGUCAAUGGACGCAAGUCUGAACCAGCCAUGCCGCGUGCAGGAAGACGGCUCUAUGAGUUGUAAACUGCUUUUGUACGAGGGUAAACGCAGAUACGCGUAUCUGUCUGAAAGUAUCGUACGAAUAAGGAUCGGCUAAUUCCGUGCCAGCAGCCGCGGUAAUACGGAGGAUUCAAGCGUUAUCCGGAUUUAUUGGGUUUAAAGGGUGCGUAGGCGGUCGGAUAAGUUAGAGGUGAAAUCCCGAGGCUCAACUUCGGAAUUGCCUCUGAUACUGUUCGGCGAGAGAGUAGUUGCGGUAGGCGGAAUGUAUGGUGUAGCGGUGAAAUGCUGAGAGAUCAUACAGAACACCGAUUGCGAAGGCAGCUUACCAAGCUACUUCUGACGUUGAGGCACGAAAGCGUGGGGAGCAAACAGGAUUAGAUACCCGGGUAGUC
Molecule: ribosomal RNA, 460 nt
Filed under: uncultured bacterium
Lineage: Bacteria
Description: partial 16S ribosomal RNA
Rfam family: Bacterial small subunit ribosomal RNA
Source: RNAcentral